This 253-nucleotide ribosomal RNA is filed under the name uncultured bacterium. RNAcentral describes it as "partial 16S ribosomal RNA". It matches the Rfam family "Bacterial small subunit ribosomal RNA", at positions 524 to 776 of the family's 1533-position model. The record is from RNAcentral.
UACAGAGGGUGCAAGCGUUAAUCGGACUUACUGGGCGUAAAGGGUGCGUAGGCGGGAGCUUAAGUUAGUUGUGAAAGGCCUGGGCUUAACCUAGGAACUGCAAUUAAAACUGGGCCUCUAGAGUUGAGUAGAGGGGAGCGGAAUUUCCGGUGUAGCGGUGAAAUGCGUAGAUAUCGGAAGGAACACCUGUUGCGAAGGCGGCUCUCUGGGCCGGUACUGACGCUGAGGAGCGAAAGCGUGGGGAGCAAACAGG